CAAAACGUAUUUUAUAAUUCCGUAUAUAUUCAAUUAUACCAUAAUUAGUCAUAGCAUUUUUUAUAAAAUCAAUUAAAUUCUAUAGUAGAUUAAAUUCAACACGUCAAAAUUAAUUAAUUUUAUGUAAUAUUACACAAAUUUAACUAUCGAGCUGUGAAUUAUCAACUGUAAAAGUAUAUUAAAAACGUAAUUUACGCGAUAAAUAAU
Molecule: long non-coding RNA, 207 nt
Filed under: Carica papaya (papaya)
Lineage: Eukaryota; Viridiplantae; Streptophyta; Magnoliopsida; Brassicales; Caricaceae
Description: long non-coding RNA (CPAP_LNC011802)
Source: RNAcentral